RNAcentral lists this ribosomal RNA (974 nucleotides) under uncultured organism. RNAcentral describes it as "bacterial SSU rRNA". It matches the Rfam family "Bacterial small subunit ribosomal RNA", at positions 519 to 1487 of the family's 1533-position model. The record is from RNAcentral.
GGUAAUACGUAGGGGGCAAGCGUUGUUCGGAAUUACCUGGGCGUAAAGGGAGCGUAGGUGCGAAAGUGAGUUAGGAGUGUAAUACGCAGGCUUAACCUGCGGCUCGCUUCUAAUACUGCUUUUCUUGAGUAUGGGAGAGGGAGACGGAAUUCCAGGUGUAACGGUGGAAUGCGUAGAUAUCUGGAAGAACAUCAGUUGCGAAGGCGGUCUCCUGGCCCAAUACUGACACUGAGGCUCGAAAGCUAGGGGAGCAAACAGGAUUAGAUACCCUGGUAGUCCUAGCCGUAAACGAUGGACACUAGAUGUUGGGGGAGUUAUUCCUUCAGUGUCGUAGCUAACGCGUUAAGUGUCCCGCCUGGGGAGUACGCUCGCAAGGGUGAAACUCAAAGGAAUUGACGGGGGCCCGCACAAGCGGUGGAGCAUGUGCUUUAAUUCGAUGCAACGCGAAGAACCUUACCUGGGCUUGACAUGGGAGUGAAAUCCCGUAGAGAUACGGGACUUUCCUUCGGGAACACUCCACACAGGUGCUGCAUGGUUGUCGUCAGCUCGUGUCGUGAGAUGUUGGGUUAAGUCCCGCAACGAGCGCAACCCUCGCCCUUAGUUGCCAGCGGGUAAUGCCGGGAACUCUAGGGGGACUGUCUGGUACAACCAGGAGGAAGGUGGGGAUGACGUCAAAUCAUCAUGGCCCUUACGCCCAGGGCUAGACACGUGCUACAAUGGCUGGUACAACGGGCUGCAAGCUCGCGAGAGCAAGCCAAUCCCUAAAAACCAGCCUCAGUUCAGAUUGGAGUCUGCAAUUCGACUUCAUGAAGGUGGAAUCGCUAGUAAUCGCGGAUCAGCAUGCCGCGGUGAUACGUUCCCGGGCCUUGUACACACCGCCCGUCAAGCCACGAAAGAUGGUAGUACCCGAAGUCGCUACUCUAACCCGCAAGGGAGGAGGGCGCCGAAGGUAAGAUCCUGACUUGGGCGAAGUC